UGGCGGCGUGCUUAACACAUGCAAGUCGAGCGAAGCGAUCUUCAAGGCAAGUUUUCGGGACGUGAAUAUGAAAUUGACUGAGCGGCGGACGGGUGAGUAACGCGUGGGUAACCUGCCUCAUACAGGGGGAUAACAGUUGGAAACGACUGCUAAUACCGCAUAAGCACACAGUGCCGCAUGGUACGGUGUGAAAAACUCCGGUGGUAUGAGAUGGACCCGCGUCUGAUUAGGUAGUUGGUGAGGUAACGGCCCACCAAGCCGACGAUCAGUAGCCGACCUGAGAGGGUGAUCGGCCACAUUGGAACUGAGACACGGUCCAGACUCCUACGGGAGGCAGCAGUGGGGAAUAUUGCGCAAUGGGGGAAACCCUGACGCAGCAACGCCGCGUGAAUGAAGAAGGCCUUAGGGUUGUAAAGUUCUGUUUUCUGGGACGAUAAUGACGGUACCAGAGGAGGAAGCCACGGCUAACUACGUGCCAGCAGCCGCGGUAAUACGUAGGUGGCAAGCGUUGUCCGGAUUUACUGGGCGUAAAGGAUGCGGUAGGCGGAUGUUUAAGUGAGAUGUGAAAUACCCCGAGCUCAACUUGGGUGCUGCAUUUCAAACUGGAUAUCUAGAGUGCAGGAGAGGAAAGC
RNAcentral lists this ribosomal RNA (632 nucleotides) under Clostridium sp. Irt-JG1-9. Its description in RNAcentral is "bacterial SSU rRNA". It matches the Rfam family "Bacterial small subunit ribosomal RNA", at positions 37 to 662 of the family's 1533-position model. Lineage: Bacteria; Bacillati; Bacillota; Clostridia; Eubacteriales; Clostridiaceae. The record is from RNAcentral.